Long non-coding RNA from Perca fluviatilis (European perch), 1948 nucleotides. RefSeq lists it as uncharacterized. Lineage: Eukaryota; Metazoa; Chordata; Actinopteri; Perciformes; Percidae. The record is from RefSeq and is a predicted model, not a curated record. The transcript is spliced from 3 exons.
CUGCCAGUCCAGCCAUCUUCGGACCCACCACCCCCACUGUCAGUCCAGCCAUCUUCGGACCCAGCACCCCCACUGUCAGUCCAGCCAUCUUCAGACCCACCACCCCCACUGCCAGCCCACACUCGCAGCUUCAAUAAAAUAAGAUUCUUUACCACCUACUCCUAAAAAGUAAUGUUUUUCCUCCAUUUUGGAGAGAAGCUGCAUCUGCUUUAUCAUGGAUAGAAAAUUAUGUAUGAAGAAGAAGGCUGGAGAAGAAGAUGAAGAGGUAAUUAGUCCUGACAUCAUCAAAGACGUCCAGGUUCUGUAUCAUCCACCCAGUCAGGGCGACUGAUCUAUAGACCAGACCAGUGUUGUACUCAAAGAAAUGUGACAAAAAUUCAGUUUCUAAGGUGUUUUGAAGAGGCUCACUCCACUCUCGUCCAGCCCAGCGGGACCUCUUACCUUCUCGAUGGCGAGGUGUGACCCUCCGCACGUGGUGUUUAAGGUGGUCCCUUGAAAUGUAGAGCCGGACAAUAUCUUUGUCUGGGACAGAGUUCAGCAUUGCUGGGUUCUUGGCUUUGAUGGCCUUGAUGAGCAGCUCCAGGUCGGUGCGGUUAUAGGCCAUCACAGCCCCAGCUAGAGCCGACUUGAACACAGCAUCCUUGCAGUGUGCGUAUGGCUGCGUCAAACCGGUGGAUCCAGCGGAAGAUGUCCAGACGCACAACCAUACCAUUGUCUCCCCAAGGCUGGAACAAAGUCUCCGUCCCUGUUGGUCCCUGUGCACGGCAACACCCACGUUCCACAUAUAGGAUUUUGGGCACAGCUUGAUUGGCCAGCCGGAACCUUUCCAUGACUCCACGGCACAUUGGUUUUAGCUUCUCGGUGGACUCCUCACAGAAUACAGAAUAGCAUCACAGAAGUGGAGAGGAUCUGGUUCCGGUAAUCCUGCACAUUGUUGGCCUCUGCCAGCAGGACGGGGUGGUGCCGGAGCAGCGCGGAUGGAAGCGUUCUCUGAGGAGGUGGAGCCUGGAAUGUGUGUCCAAAUACAGAGACAAUCCCUCCGGUUCUGAUACAGUCACGAGGAGUGUGGUGUACAGAUCCUUACGAUGAAGGUACUCUUCAUUAUGAUUUUCAUGUAGCUGCCGCCACACUUUAAUCAUGGGGUUCCCUUGUACCAGGCAGCAAGUACGAAGGGUGAGAGCCCUUCCUCUUCAUCCUCUGAAGACAAGCAGCCUUCUACUCCAAGGCGGCAGCAAGUAUGGAGGGGUGAGAGCCCUUCGUCUUCAUCUUCUGAAGACAACCAGCCUUCUACCACCAGGUAGCAAGAACGAUGGGAUGUGAGCUCUUUGUUCUUCGUAGUGUUAUGACCCUGGGGUCAUAUUUAGUAAUUUGUCUUUCACCCUGCACUAUCAAGCAGCUGUAUUUUGUAGCUUGUCUUUCACCCUGCAAUAUCAAUUGAUCUCCUGAGGGUACACAGGUGAUGGACAACAGGUGCGCACACUGGAUUGGUCGCCUGGAGGACAGCAGCCAUUUUAAGCCUCGUCGGACAGGAACUCAGCCCCCUCUCUUCGCUCUGCCAUUCCCAACAUGUGCCUGUGUAAACCUGUGUCUUGUGUAAACCUGUGUCUUGUGUAAACCUGUGUCUUGUGUUCCAAGUUGGUGUGAGUAGUGUUAACAGCCUUCAGUGAAAAUGGUUGUUUUGAGUUCUUUGAUUUGUUAUCCUUCAGCCACUUUGUUUUAGUUGUGAAUACAUUUUUCUUUGUCUUAUUUUGCUAGUAGCAGUCUGGUAGGAGUGAGAAGUCCUUUUUUAUUUGCUCCCUUUUUCUCCUGUUUUGUUAUUAGAAGCUGAGGUUAGAGCUUUGUCUUUUCUUUACCUUUGGAUUAGGUAAGUUUAGUUUGCCUUUAGAAUUGUUUUGUUUGUUGUGUUGGGGCCUCAUCUCCGAAAUAAAUAGAAACUGCUACUUUGAAA